Molecule: ribosomal RNA, 406 nt
Filed under: uncultured bacterium
Lineage: Bacteria
Description: partial 16S ribosomal RNA
Rfam family: Bacterial small subunit ribosomal RNA
Source: RNAcentral
AUUGAACGCUGGCGGCAGGCCUAACACAUGCAAGUCGAACGAGGGGCGGACGGGUGAGUAAUGUCUGGGAAACUGCCUGAUGGUGGGGGAUAACUACUGGAAACGGUAGCUAAUACCGCAUACCAUCGGGUGUGCCCAGAGGGGAUUAGCUAGUAGGUGGGGUAAUGGCUCGCCGGGGCGACGAUCCCUAGCUGGUCUGAGAGGAUGACCGGCCACACGGGAACUGAGGGACGGUCCAGACGCCCACGGGACGACGGAGGGGGGAAUAGUGAGAAAUGGACGCAAGGUUGACACAGCGAUGCAGCGGGGCUGAGAAAGGGCUGAGGGUUGUAAGGUAGUUACAGUGAUGAGGGGGUAUGUGCAGAAGAAGGACCGGCUAACUCCGUGCCAGCAGCCGCGGUAAUUC